RNAcentral lists this unclassified non-coding RNA (197 nucleotides) under uncultured fungus. Its description in RNAcentral is "sequence contains ITS1". Lineage: Eukaryota; Fungi. The record is from RNAcentral.
UUGACUUAUUGUAUAAGUUACUCAGAGAGGCCUGUAAUGACGAAGAGUUUCGGGCUUCUGACGGGCUGCCGGCCCUGGAGGGGAGCCGGCGCGGCCUGGGUUACAGGCUACCCGCCGAAGCAACGGUGAGGUAGGUACACAAUGGUUGGGAGUUUUGCAACUCUGUAAUGAUCCCUCCGCUGGUUCACCAACGGAGA